Long non-coding RNA from Oreochromis aureus, 1208 nucleotides. RefSeq lists it as uncharacterized. The record is from RefSeq and is a predicted model, not a curated record. The transcript has 3 exons. Lineage: Eukaryota; Metazoa; Chordata; Actinopteri; Cichliformes; Cichlidae.
CAGUGACUCAGGUUAACACUAAACUUUAAACAGUCCCUCUGUGUCUCUGUGUGUGCUAAACAUGUAGGACUGAGUCAGGCUGCAUUGACUGUGGGACUUUUCUGUGUUAAAAGCAAGUUGAAGACGCUCAGAAACAUUUGAAGAUUAAAAUUUAGCAUUAUGGCUGCUCGUGGUGUGUAAAGCUUCUACUCAGCUGUAUUUUUGUUACUAAUUUAUGUUUGUUGUUGUUUAACACAGAUUUCAGAAGAGCAAAGAUGAGCACUGUUGCUUAAUCCUUAAUAGUUUAAGUGGAUUGGAAAUAAAAAAAUUCCAGAUUUUUCUUCCACAGAAGUUUCAUUUGUCAGUGUGAUGAGGGGGCUGCAGUGAGGACACAGCCUGGUCACUGAGGUCAGAGGAGGCGCUGAAAGGUUUCCCUAAUAGUUCCUGGUGAAUCAAAGCAGGACCAUAAAGGUUGCUGGACUGCAUGAUGGCCUUACCCCUGAGCAGUCAUCCUGUUAAAGGAGGAACCAGUUAGAAGCUGUUUUCAAAGUAGCUGAGCAGAUUUCAUCUCAAUAGAUCAAAGCAGCUCGUGCUCUGUCUGCUUCCAUUCUGAUGGCAAGAAGAAGAAGAAGGAGAAGACUUCAGCGAAGUGGCAUUCAUGGUCUCAGUGGACAGUCAUGGUCACACACUGCAUGUGGUUUUAAAAGCAACAUAUCUGUUCACCACAACAAUGGAGAUGUGUAAUAUUAGUGCAGCUACGGUUUGUUCUUGAACAUCAGUUCUGUUUUCUACUUUGACCACUUAGACCAAAAAAAGUGUUGUUUUCAGAUUCUUUCUUUUUAAAUCUAUAAAGCACCUGUUCAUUUUUUAUUACAAUUAGUUUCACAUAAAUGUUAGUGUUUCCUUUAUGAUCUUUUAAUGCUUACGCUACACUGUGCACAUCUACAUAAGAGACGUUUCUGUUACCUAUGUAUGAGACUGGGCUGCUUGACUACGAUUUGGAAAUGGAUGCAAAAUCACAUGGAUCGUGCUAUUGUUUGUUUUUUAAUAUGAUGGACUGAACACAGGAGGUAUCUGACUAAGCAAAGAUUAGUCCGAUCCCAUUUCUACCUGUCUCUGCUGUUUCAACUGUAACUGUCAGGAUAUAUAUUUAUUCCAGCUCUCAUAGGGCAAAGAAAUGACUCAGACUUGUCAAAUGUUCUUUGACUUGAUACACAAUAUCAAGUUCA